GCUUUGGUGGUGUACAUUAGCACGAUUAAAUUUCAUUUAAUAGGAGAUUAUGUCCCGAAGUU
Molecule: transfer RNA, 62 nt
Filed under: Lepidodermella squamata
Lineage: Eukaryota; Metazoa; Gastrotricha; Chaetonotida; Chaetonotidae
Description: tRNA-Glu
Source: RNAcentral